This is a long non-coding RNA of Ceratitis capitata (Mediterranean fruit fly), 1544 nucleotides long. RefSeq lists it as uncharacterized. The transcript is spliced from 2 exons. The record is from RefSeq and is a predicted model, not a curated record. Lineage: Eukaryota; Metazoa; Arthropoda; Insecta; Diptera; Tephritidae.
UCAAAAGGUCAUUAGGCUUUUAAUAUAAUUAAAACAAAAUACAAGUACAUACACAUACACAUAUAUCAACAAAAUAGUUUGGAAUCUUUGAAAAAGUGCUGAUAUUCUGAAAGUGCUUAUUCAUAGCAGUUUUAUGUAUGUACAUGUAUACGUAGCGUUUACCCCCACUUAGGAACAGACCAGGAAACGAACUGUUUCUACACUUUCGGAGCAAUGGAAGAGGCUGCUUAGAUGUGUCGGUUUUAAGAAGCAUUUAAAGGGGUGGUGUGUGUCGUAAGGGGACUCAUUACAUGCUGGACAUACGUUAAGUAGCUUAAGACAGCUCGAGCUCUUCAUCUCCUAUGAGUGGUGCUUUGACCUCGAGAAUGGCAUUCACAGUGAGUGAGUUUUUGAACUCGUUAACUGACUCUUGGUGAACAGCGUUAAGUGCUUGUUUUUACGGCGUCCUGUCUAGGGUUUGUUGUGCCUGUUGAUAAGUAGAGUCCUUUAAGUCGGGUACUCCUUACUGAUUUCGGCUUUGGCUUCCAAUAAAUAUCUGUUGGGGUGCUUUCCCAGCAUCAGCAUGCUUAUUCCGUCGGGCCGAUGGCUUUCGCUUUACCGAUGACCUCCUGAUACUCUUCCCUGGAGAAAUCAAGUGUCGUCCUGGUGCUCGGUAGUUUGCGCAGACAGCGUGCCAGAAUUUAUUACCAAUAUCUUAGUGGAGUUUCUUCAUUGAUAUAGCCGUUUGUCCUAAAAUGCUAACGUAAAUACCCAGUCCUCUUAUAUCUUACAUAUAAUUUGUUCAUUUCUUAAAGCUUAGAAAUACUUUAUUAUGCUUUAAGCCAAUCGGAAAAAAAUUUUAUAUUUUGAGAACCAACAAUGAAGAGGGUAGAAUGGCGACGUCAUUCCCUGCUGGCAAACAGUUAAAAACAAUUUGUGCGGAUAUUGACAUUUGCAUGUUUGGUACAAGAAGAAUUGCAUAUUUUUAGGCGCUCAUAUACGUUGGCACCUAUUUACUGUGACUUUUAACAUUUUUGGAAAUUAAAUUGUCUACGUUUUUAAUGUACGACAACGAAAAAACACAAUUUUACUUUGUUUAUGUGUGGACAAAUUCAAAAUUGUUUUUGAACAGAUGAAUAAGUUCUCCUCAAUACAAUUUACACACUGAAGUUCAUCAUAAAUGGUAUAAAAAUACAUUAAUAACUCACAGGAAGCACUACCAAUUUAAGAAUUGUUCAGAAUUAGUUAAAUAAAGAAACGAAGAGCUCCUAUGCAUAAUUUCAACAUUAACUGGGUAAGCACUAAAAUUUAUCAUAAGAAAACAUAUGUGAUAACUUAACUUUCAAAUUGUUUACUGUAUCUUGUUACGCCCAACACACACUUCCAUUUUAAAAACUACUAAUGCAAUUUCACUAGCAAAAUUCCGCAAAUCUCCAUUAACACAUUUAUAAUAAAACAUUUAUAAUUAAAACAAUUUCCUUCUUAAUUUUUUUCUAUUCUUUAUUCUCUUCUACGCACAAUUACUGCAAUUGUAUUUUUAGUGACUUUUUAUCAUUCUAUUUUUG